Molecule: ribosomal RNA, 429 nt
Filed under: Chloroflexota bacterium
Lineage: Bacteria; Bacillati; Chloroflexota
Description: Chloroflexi bacterium partial 16S ribosomal RNA
Rfam family: Bacterial small subunit ribosomal RNA
Source: RNAcentral
UGGGGAAUAUUGCACAAUGGGCGCAAGCCUGAUGCAGCCAUGCCGCGUGUGUGAAGAAGGCCUUCGGGUUGUAAAGCACUUUCAGCGGGGAGGAAGGCGUUAAGGUUAAUAACCUUGGCGAUUGACGUUACCCGCAGAAGAAGCACCGGCUAACUCCGUGCCAGCAGCCGCGGUAAUACGGAGGGUGCAAGCGUUAAUCGGAAUUACUGGGCGUAAAGCGCACGCAGGCGGUCUGUCAAGUCGGAUGUGAAAUCCCCGGGUUCAACCUGGGAACUGCAUCUGAUACUGGCAAGCUUGAGUCUCGUAGAGGGGGGUAGAAUUCCAGGUGUAGCGGUGAAAUGCGUAGAGAUCUGGAGGAAUACCGGUGGCGAAGGCGGCCCCCUGGACGAAGACUGACGCUCAGGUGCGAAAGCGUGGGGAGCAAACAGG